GCGAACGACUUCGGUCGAGACUCGUGAGGAGACAUUGCGAUGGGAACAAAAGCCACUAUUUUCUUCUCUUUGAAUUCCAUUAGCUUUUCCUUCGAUUGAAGUUCGAAACCCGAAGAGUGAAAAAGUGCGAGUGACAAGUUUUUGUUUUGUUGCCAAAAAUUUAUCCAUUAUCCUCUCUCUCCUCUCCCUUUUAGGGGCUUGCGAGAUUCUUGGGAAGCUCGGUAUGGAGAUCUCCAAGAACGAGAGCUUCCCCGAGCUCGGAUAAGUUUCUGGGACCAAGAAAGUUGUGUUCUUUGUCGACGAAUUCUUGCGGCUAAGGCUGCUUCUUUUUGUAGUUCUUCUUACUGUUUCGGAUGGGAGAGUGAGUACCGUUUCAGGUGAGAAAAUGAUUGAAUUGGCAGAGAUAAGAUGAAGCUUUCUACUGUUGGUAUCAGCCAGCAAGCACCAGAAGGGGAGGAGAAGAGAUGCUUGGAUUCGGAGCUCUGGCACGCCUCGCCGGGCCGCUGGUGUCCUUACCCACAGCUGGAACUCGAGUAGUCUAUUUUCCUCAGGGUCACAGUGAGCAAGCGGCUGCAUCGACGAACAAGGAAGUAGAGAGCCAUUUUCCCAAUUACCCAAGCUUACUGCCUCAGUUGCUUUGCCGGCUCCAUAACGUGACUUUGCGCGCAGAUGUGGAAACAGAUGAAGUUUAUGCUCAGAUGACGUUGCAACCUCUGAGUCCGGAAGAGCAGAAAGUCACUUAUUUUCCCAUUGAGAUGGGUUUUACGAGCAAGCAACCCACAAAUUAUUUCUGCAAGAUUCUGACAGCAAGUGAUACAAGUACCCAUGGAGGGUUCUCUAUACCUCGUCGUGCAGCUGAAAAAGUCUUCCCUCCUCUGGAUUUCUCUCAGCAGCCGCCAGUGCAGGAGCUUAUUGCUCGUGACCUUUAUGAUGUUGAAUGGAAGUUCAGGCACAUUUUUCGAGGUCAACCAAAAAGGCAUUUCCUUACUACAGGCUGGAGUGUGUUUGUCCGUGCCAAGAGACUUGUCGCUGGGGAUUCUGUUCUUUUUAUUUGGAAUGAAAAGAACCAGCUUUUGUUGGGAAUAAGACGCACUAAUCAACCACAAACUUCAGCAUCAUCAUCACUGGUUUUAUCAAGUGACAGCAUGCAUAUAGGACUCUUUGCUGCAGCAGCUCAUGCUGCUGCCACAAAUAGUCGUUUUACCAUAUUUUAUAAUCCAAGGGCCAGCCCAUCAGAGUUUGUUAUACCUCUUUCAAAGUACACUAAAGCUGUAUUCCACACAUGUGUAUCAAUUGGGAUGCGAUUUCGUAUGCUUUUUGAGACCGAGGAAUCAAGCAUUCGUAGGUACAUGGGAACAAUUACUGGCAUAAGUGUCUUGGAUCCUGUACGUUGGCCGACUUCUCAUUGGAAAACAGUCCAGGUUGGCUGGGAUGAAGCCACGGAAGGUAAAAGGCAGUGUAGAGUAUCACUGUGGGAAGUUGAGCCUUUAACUACCUUUCCCAUGUAUCCAUCAUUGUUUCCAAUUGGCAGAUCUUGGCAUCCUGGAGCAUCCUUUCCUUGUGACAUCAAAGAAAAUGAGCUAAAUGCUUUAAUGUGGUCAAGAGGCCUUGCUGCUGAACGAGGCAUGUGUUCAUUGAAUCUCUCAUCACUAGGUAUGGGCCCUUGGGUCCAACAUAAGCAUGAACCAUUGCUGCCGGGAAGUGAGUUCAAUAAGUACCAAGCCAUUUCCCAUGUAGCUUUGCAGGAUGUACGAUAUUGGGAUAUUCUGAAGCUGCAAUUUCUGCAAAAUCAACAACCUAUUCAAUUUCUUCCACAGUCCUAUGCAUCCAGCUCAUUGCUGCAGCAUCGAGAUUGUCAGCAGACUAAGCAGCAGAUUGUGAAUUCUCAAUCACAAUGCGUAACAGAACCAGUUUUAUAUGAGCAGUGGCAGCCACCCCAAAAUAAGCAGCAAAAGCAGCAGGUUGAAGGAGCACAUGCUAACACACAGGCAUUCCCAAUGCAUAGCAAUCAUGUGCAACAGCAGUCUCAUUUUCCUCCUUCAUUGUUUGAAAGUUCAUCCAUUCAUUACUCAAGCUUAGGUUUCUCAUCAAUUCCGACGGCAAGUUCCGUUCAGGAUAUCUUAGGAUUUGCUUAUUGUGAAGAAAAUGCUGGUGGUUCCAACUAUUCACAUCUUGGCCAAUCCAUGUUAAAUCAUCCUAAUUGGCAAUCAUGGAAACCCAAGUUUACCAAGACACAACCAAUUUCUUUUGAUGAUGUAGCUCUGCUACCAUCACUUCCUGCUAAGAACUGUACUGCAGGAAAUGAAGUUUUCAGAGUUAACCUGAUUAACACCCUGUUUAGCUUCGGCAAAGAUUCCUCCUCUUCGCCGACUAAUGCAGUACCUAACCUAGGUAUCGUCAAUGAUAUGUCGAGUGUGCCAUGUGUCGGUUAAUUUUUCCAUAAUUCUCUGUAUGGAUAUGUGGAUGACUUAUCUGGCUUAUGAAAAAAUGCAGAAGAGACUGAUCUACAAUCCCAAUACUUUGUGAAGGUUUACAAGUCGGGAUCAGUUGGGAGGUCUCCGGACAUCUCCCGGUUUAGCAAUUAUGAUGAAUUACGUGAGGAACUGGGACAGAUGUUUGGUAUUGAGGGUCUAUCAGAAGAUCCUCUUAGAUCAGGCUGGCAGCUUGUAUUUGUCGACAGGGAGAAUGAUGUGCUUCUCUUUGGAGAUGACCCAUGGGAGUCAUUCAUGAAUAACGUCUGGUACAUCAAAAUACUUUCACCUGAGGAUAUGCUGAAAAUGGGAAAACAGGGAGUUGAAUCUUUAUGUUAAUCCCUCUAGAAAUUCAGGGAACAAGUGAGGGUCAUUUGUGGAUAACGUCUAGCAUAUCAAGAUACUUUCAACUGAGGAGGUGCUGAAAAUUGGAAAACAGGGAAUUGAAUCUUUCUAUUAAUCCCUCUUGAAAUUCAAGGAACAAGCAAGGGUUACCCUCUUUUCGGCUCUCAACUGGUGCUCCUUAUAGACACUCCUAGCAUGAUUUUGUUGUUCUCAGAUUCAGUAUGAUCUGCAAGAUGACCGAUAAUAUGCAAUUUGAUGGUAUUUGCUCUCUUCCACCAGAUAUAAACUGGAUAUUUUGCUGCUAAUCUAAAUUAACUAUGAUUGUAACUAUACUUCAGAGUACAUCGAGAUGCUUGAACAAGUAUUAUUUUGGCCUGUUUCCU
Musa acuminata subsp. malaccensis (wild Malaysian banana) is the source of this 3199-nucleotide non-coding RNA. The record is from RefSeq and is a predicted model, not a curated record. NCBI's taxonomy places the organism in Eukaryota, Viridiplantae, Streptophyta, Magnoliopsida, Zingiberales, Musaceae.